Stylophora pistillata is the source of this 530-nucleotide long non-coding RNA. Lineage: Eukaryota; Metazoa; Cnidaria; Anthozoa; Scleractinia; Pocilloporidae. The record is from RefSeq and is a predicted model, not a curated record.
CUGAAACCUUUUCUUAUCUUGUUUUACAGGGGACGUUAGGCCUCAAUACUCAUUGCCUUUGAACAGUUGGAUUUUCAUCUAAAGAUCAAUCAGUAUAAAACUGAGGCUUUUAUCUUUCUAAGGGAAAGUGACCUCAAUCAGAAGAUUUCAGUGAAGAUCCUUUGUUCACUUUAAUCGGAAAAACUGACCUCGAUCUGAGGAGAUUUGAGUCAAGAACCUUUGUUUACUUUAGUCGCAGACGUUAGACCUCACUACUCAUUGCCUUUGAACAGUUGAACAGAUUUUCUUCUUCCCAUUGCCAGGGAAAACUGAGUUCGAUCAGGAGAUUUGAGUCAAGAGUCUUUGCUUGUUUUAAUCGGUGAGUUUAUUUAGAGCUGAUAUGCUCAGUUUCACUUUCCCGUACAAUGCGUGAAAUGCGUAACACCGUAACGAACCCCCUCAAAAGACAUUGCAGCUGUAACCUCCAUGUGAAGAACAGCAUCAUGCUCUAACAUGAUGACAUUACAAGCCAUUUGUUACUCUUGUACCCU